RNAcentral lists this ribosomal RNA (1458 nucleotides) under uncultured Bordetella sp. RNAcentral's name for it is "partial 16S-23S ribosomal RNA intergenic spacer". It matches the Rfam family "Bacterial small subunit ribosomal RNA". The record is from RNAcentral. Lineage: Bacteria; Pseudomonadati; Pseudomonadota; Betaproteobacteria; Burkholderiales; Alcaligenaceae.
AGUUCGAUUCACAAACCAGAUUGAACGCUGGCGGGAUGCUUUACAUGCAGGUGAACGCGCCGGAACUGCGGUCUGGUGGCGAGUGGCGAACAGGUGAGUAAUGUAUGGAACGUGCCUAGUAGCGAGAUAAACACGCGAAAGCGUAAUGGCUCUACGCCAUACAGCAGGAAAGCGGGGGACCUUCGGGCCUCGCACUAUUAGAGCGGCCGAUAUCGGAUUAGCUUCUAGUUGGUGGGGUAACGGCUCACCAAGGCGACAGUCAGCAGCUGGUUUGAGAGGACGACCAACCAGCCACACUGGGACUGGCCCAGACUCCUACGGGGAGGCAGCAGUGGGGAAUUUUGGACAAUGGGGGAAACCCUGAUCCAGCCAUCCCGCGUGUGCGAUGAGCCUUCGGGUUGUAAGGCACUUUUGGCAGGAAAGAAACGGCACGGGAUAAUACUGAUACAGCAAAUGAAAAUACCUUACCAGAAUAAGCACCGGCUAACUACGAUAGCAGCCGCGGUAAUACGUAGGGUGCAAGCGUUAAUCGGAAUUACUGGGCGUAAAGCGUGCGCAGGCGGUUCGGAAAGAAAAGAUGUGUGAAAUCCCAGAGCUUAACUUUGAACUGCAUUUUAACUACCAAAGGCUAGGUGUGUCAGAGGGAGGUGGAAUUCCGCGCGAUGUGGCAACGGUGAAAUGCGUAGAUAUGCGGAGGAACACCGAUGGCGAAGGCAGCCUCCUGGAGAUAACACCUGACACUCACUGGCAAUGGGGAGCAAACAGGAUUAGAUACCUGAUAGUCCACGCCUAAACGAUGUCAACUAGCUGUUGGGGCCUUCAGGCCUUGGUAGCGCAGCUAACGUGAGACAAGCCGCCUAGAAUUACGGUCGCAAGAUUAAAACUCCAAGGAAUUGACGGGGACCCGCACAAGCGAAUUGGAUGAUGUGGAUUAAUUCGAUGCAACGCGAAAAACCUUACCUACGUGACAUGUCUGGAAUCCCGAAGAGAUUUAAGUGCUCGCAAGAGAACCGGAACACAGGUGCUGCAUGGCUGUCGUCAGCUCGUGUCGUGAGAUGUUGGGUUAAGUCCCGCAGGCGCAACCCUUGUCUUAGUUGCUACGAAAGGGCACUCUAAUGGGGCUACCGGUGACAAACCGGAGAAGGUGGGGAUGACGUCAAGUCCUCAUGGCCCUUAUGGGUAGGACUACGUCAUACAAUGGUCGGGACGGUCGCCAACCCGCGAGGGGGGAGCCAAUCCCAGAAACCCGAUCGUAGUCCGGAUCAUGAUCUGCAACUCGACUGCGUGAAGUCGGAAUCCUUAAUCGCGGAUCAGCAUGUCGCGGUGAAUACGUUCCCGGGUCUUGUACACACCGCCCGUCCGCAUGGGAGUGGGUUUUGCAGAAGUAGUGUAGCCUAACGUAAGGAGGGCGAUUACCACGGUAGGAUUCAUGACUGGGGUGGAAGUGUGGCUAGGUAG